RNAcentral lists this unclassified non-coding RNA (207 nucleotides) under rhizosphere metagenome. Its description in RNAcentral is "partial ribosomal RNA internal transcribed spacer region". The record is from RNAcentral.
GUUGGUGAACCAGCGGAGGGAUCAUUACCGAGUUUACAACUCCCAAACCCCUGUGAACAUACCUUAAUGUUGCCUCGGCGGAUCAGCCCGCGCCCCGUAAAACGGGACGGCCCGCCAGAGGACCCAAACUCUAAUGUUUCUUAUUGUAACUUCUGAGUAAAACAAACAAAUAAAUCAAAACUUUCAACAACGGAUCUCUUGGUUCUG